AUUGAACGCUGGCGGCAGGCCUAACACAUGCAAGUCGAGCGGAUGAAGGGAGCUUGCUCCUGGAUUCAGCGGCGGACGGGUGAGUAAUGCCUAGGAAUCUGCCUGGUAGUGGGGGAUAACGUCCGGAAACGGGCGCUAAUACCGCAUACGUCCUGAGGGAGAAAGUGGGGGAUCUUCGGACCUCACGCUAUCAGAUGAGCCUAGGACGGAUUAGCUAGUUGGUGGGGUAAAGGCCUACCAAGCCGACGAUCCGUAACUGGUCUGAGAGGAUGAUCAGUCACACGGGAACUGGAACACGGUCCAGACGACUACGAGAGGCAGCAGUGGGGAAUGUUGGACAAUGGGCGAAAGCCUGAUCCAGCCAUGGCGCGUGUGUUGAGAAGGUCUUCGGAUUGUAAAGCACUUUAAGUUGGGAGGAAGGGCAGUAAGUUAAUACCUUGCUGUUUUGACGUUACCAACAGAAUAAGCACCGGCUAACUUCGUG
This 484-nucleotide ribosomal RNA is filed under the name uncultured bacterium. RNAcentral's name for it is "partial 16S ribosomal RNA". It matches the Rfam family "Bacterial small subunit ribosomal RNA", at positions 30 to 507 of the family's 1533-position model. The record is from RNAcentral.